Molecule: long non-coding RNA, 365 nt
Organism: Leptidea sinapis
Lineage: Eukaryota; Metazoa; Arthropoda; Insecta; Lepidoptera; Pieridae
Exons: 2
Source: RefSeq, a predicted model, not a curated record
AAUGAUUAAAUAUAUUUUCAUUGCAUUACCUAUUACAAUGGUUGUGGAAAAUAGUUCACAAGAUAGAUGGGGAAAGAUAAGUAAAGCGAAUGACAUGAGCCAGAUUAAAGAUUCCUUAGAUGCACCAUCUGAUAUGCAAUCAUUUAGCCAUUGGAGAGCGAACGAGGGAGAUGAAGUUCCAGAACCAGCUGAUGAUGAUAAUGGUGAUUUUAUGGCACAUCUAAAACAAAUACAACGCAUGAAAAGAUCUCCACGAUCCAACUAAUCAAGUCAAAAGAGAGAUGACAUAGAAUGGGAACAGCAUUAAUGUAGUUUUGUUUAUUUCUCGUCGCAAUAUUAUAUAAUAAAGCAUUUGAACAUUUGAA